AGAGUUUGAUCCUGGCUCAGAUUGAACGCUGGCGGCGUGCUUAACACAUGCAAGUCGAGCGGAACNNGGUGAAUACAUGCUGACGAGCGGCGAACGGGUGAGUAAUGCUUCGGAAUCUACCCAAUGGUGGGGAAUAACCAGCCGAAAGGUUGGCUAAUACCGCAUACGUCCUACGNNAGAAAGCGGGGAUCGUAAGACCUUGCGCCAAUGGAUGAGCCGAAGUCGGAUUAGCUAGUUGGUAGGGUAACGGCCUACCAAGGCGACGAUCCGUAGCUGGUCUGAGAGGACGACCAGCCACACUGGGACUGAGACACGGCCCAGACUCCUACGGAGGCAGCAGUGGGGAAUAUUGGACAAUGGGGGAAACCCUGAUCCAGCGACGCCGCGUGUGUGAAGAAGGCCUGCGGGUUGUAAAGCACUUUUGUGGGGAUAAAUCACGGCUAAUACCCGUGGAUUUUGACCUAACCCACAGAAAAAGCACCGGCUAACUCUGUGCCAGCAGCCGCGNNAAUACAGAGGGUGCGCGUUAAUCGGAAUUACUGGGCGUAAAGCNNGCGUAGACGGUUACAUAAGUCAGUGAACCCCGGGCUCNNCCUGGGAAUGCAUUNNAGACUGCGUAGCUAGGGUGCGGAAGAGGGAAGCGGAAUUUCCGGUGUAGCGGUGAAAUGCGUAGAUAUCGGAAGGAACACCAGUGGCGAAAGCGGCUUCCUGGUCCAGCACCGACGUUCAGGCACGAAAGCNNGGGGAGCAAACAGGAUUAGAUACCCUAGUAGUCC
Molecule: ribosomal RNA, 776 nt
Filed under: uncultured bacterium
Lineage: Bacteria
Description: bacterial SSU rRNA
Rfam family: Bacterial small subunit ribosomal RNA
Source: RNAcentral